UUUGAGAGAAUAUGAGAGAUAUAGUAGCUAUGGAAGAGGAAAUAUGCAGACAAAAAAAGAAGUAAAAUAAUACUAUUUCCAUGUAAUUGCAGCAGAGGAAUAAUUAAGUAACGGCCGUUACCGUUACGUAAUGUUAAAGUAAUGACUAUUACUGUUAUGUAAUGGUAAAUAACGGCCAUGAGUUAUAUAAUGGUCAUGAUGGCAGUUGCACUUGCAACUCUAGAUUUGCCUGUAAAUAACAAUGUAUCAUGUAACGGGCCAUUGUAAAACCUAUAAAUAACAGUAGAAACCAUGGUAACCAUUUUAGUCUGUCAAUGUAUGACAAUACGUACUCUAGUCUUAAGGUAGGAGGAAAAGACCUUGUACUAAACCUUAGGGUUUCAAUUAAAUGGCAAUUGAAAGUUUAAGGGUAACUAUUCUAGAUUUCCAAUCUCCAAAAUUGAUUGUAUAUUUCCUUCUUAACGCUAUUAUUAUGAGGGAUUUUUCUUCACUAUUAUAUUAUCAUUGUAAUCUCUCUCUCUCUCUCCCGUCCUUUAUAUAUUUAAAGUAUUAAAAUGACAGAGAAAGAAAGUUGAUAUAGUGAGUUUAUGGAGAAGUGUGGCAUUAUACAUGUGAAUGCAUAUAUUUACAGUUCUUCUUCUUUUAUAUGCACAUCCAAUGCUCCCCAUCUCCUACUUAAGUUCAAGAAAGUGCUCUCUGAAUAAUUUACCUUGUUUUAGACAACAGGCCUGGAUAAAACAUAGAAUUUUUCUUUUUUUCAUGUUUUGGAGACAAUUGAAAUGUAGAGGGAUAGAACAGAUUGGAGAAAAGUAGCAAAAGAAGGAUUUAUGUGGUUUGGCUACAGAGAGCAUACAUCCACGGACACAAAACCUCAAAAGGACUACAUUUUUUUCACUUAUGUUGUGUGUCUUGCAUAGUACAUAGA
Molecule: unclassified non-coding RNA, 925 nt
Filed under: Hevea brasiliensis (rubber tree)
Lineage: Eukaryota; Viridiplantae; Streptophyta; Magnoliopsida; Malpighiales; Euphorbiaceae
Source: RNAcentral